Molecule: ribosomal RNA, 253 nt
Filed under: uncultured bacterium
Lineage: Bacteria
Description: partial 16S ribosomal RNA
Rfam family: Bacterial small subunit ribosomal RNA
Source: RNAcentral
UACGAAGGGGGCUAGCGUUGCUCGGAAUCACUGGGCGUAAAGGGUGCGUAGGCGGGUCUUUAAGUCAGGGGGGAAAUCCUGGAGCUCAACUCCAGAACUGCCUUUGAUACUGAAGAUCUUGAGUUCGGGAGAGGUGAGUGGAACUGCGAAUGUAGAGGUGAAAUUCGUAGAUAUUCGCAAGAACACCAGUGGCGAAGGCGGCUCACUGGCCCGAUACUGACGCUGAGGCACGAAAGCGUGGGGAGCAAACAGG